Molecule: ribosomal RNA, 492 nt
Filed under: uncultured bacterium
Lineage: Bacteria
Description: partial 16S ribosomal RNA
Rfam family: Bacterial small subunit ribosomal RNA
Source: RNAcentral
AGUGAACGCUGGCGGUAGGCCUAACACAUGCAAGUCGAACGGCAGCACAGUAAGAGCUUGCUCUUACGGGUGGCGAGUGGCGGACGGGUGAGGAAUACAUCGGAAUCUACUUUUUCGUGGGGGAUAACGUAGGGAAACUUACGCUACUACCGCAUACGACCUACGGGUGAAAGCAGGGGAUCUUCGGACCUUGCGCGAUUGAAUGAGCCGAUGUCGGAUUAGCUAGUUUGCUGGGUAAAGGCCCACCAAGGCGACGAUCCGUAGCCGGUCUGAGAGGAUGAUCGGCCACACUGGAACUGAGACACGGUCCAGACUCCUACGGGAGGCAGCAGUGGGGAAUAUUGGACAAUGGGCGCAAGCCUGAUCCAGCCAUACCGCGUGGGUGAAGAAGGCCUUCGGGUUGUAAAGCCCUUUUGUUGGGAAAGAAAAGCAGCAGGUUAAUACCCCGCUGUUCUGACGGUACCCAAAGAAUAAGCACCGGCUAACUUCGUG